Molecule: long non-coding RNA, 1477 nt
Filed under: Mytilus galloprovincialis (Mediterranean mussel)
Lineage: Eukaryota; Metazoa; Mollusca; Bivalvia; Mytilida; Mytilidae
Source: RNAcentral
UACACAUCAUAUUUCAAAUAAAAUAUCUUUAGUUUUGAGAUUUCAUGCAUAUGAUUUGUUUUAUUGUCAUUUUGCAAUUCUGUAAAAACGUCGGAUCGAGAAAUCCGUAUAUGACAGGAUUUACGAUAUUAUUAAUGAUGAAUGUUCUCGCUAGGAUAGGAAAUAUGGCUUUUGUAAGGGGUGUUCUUACAAACCGACCUUUUAUGACAGAUGCAUUAAGUUUUACUGCUACGUACGGCAAGUAACUCAGUAUAAAGCAGAAGCUAAUGACAAAUGCAAUCCGCGUAAUCUUUUUCGAUGGGUUUUUUUCCGACACUGUCUUACGCUUUGCUUUAUGUUGCUUAUUGUUGUAAUUUUUAUUUAUUCCUGGAUUUUUAUUUAUGUCUAUAGCAUUUUUCUCAUCUUCACAUUCGCUUUUUUCAUCCAUUGUGUCGGUGGUAAGGUUUUCACUUGCGGUUGUCUCUGUGGCAACAGACGACGGUGAUACGGAAUAUUUUCUUCGAAAAGAUUGUUGAAAUUUGGUUCGUUCGAGCACUUUUCGUCCAACUAUUGAAUACAUAAUAACAAGUGCAAGCAUACUAGAAAUAUAAACUGUUAACAGGACAGUACUGUAUAUCGUUGUGUAAUUUGUACCGCGAAAUCUGUCAGAAAAGCUGCAAUCAUACCCUGUUAAAUUGUUAUCUAAUUUUUCCAAGCUUAUUCCACUCAACGCUCCCUCCGGCCAACAAAAUAACAAGGCAAUUCCAACUACGAUUGCAAUCGUUAUAUAACCUUGAUUCAUAGUUAGUUGUGAUUUUAGAGGUUGACAUACCCGUCUAAGACGAUUUCCUGACAUCGGAAUUAAAAGAAGGGAUGAUGUCAAGGAUAAAUGUACGCUUACUGAUCUGAAGAUACUACAUCCUGCUGCAGAAUAAAAUGUUAACUGGUGCGUUUGUUGGAACAAUUCAAACGGUAUUGCAACCAAACACACCAGUAAGUCGGUAACCGCUAAAGCCCGAAUGUACAUCCAAUGUGUCCCUUCUCGUCGCCCGUGUGAACCAAAGUACACAAUAAUCACUAGUAAGUUUCCUGGAAUACCAAAGGCCAUCACAACUGAUAAAUAAACGAUUGCAGAUGUUCGUUUUGCUGUUUCUUCAUCAUUGAAGUCGUUAAGCGACAUUUCAACAUUUGUAUAGUUUCCUCCCAUUUUUGCAAUUAUAUAUUAAAAGGAACAGGACUGUUAUACACAAAAAGUUACUCCUUUUUGUUUGAUUAGAAUACGAGUACGAGUAGAUACCAAUAUCAAUUCAAAAUUGCAAAUUUCUUUAAGUUAUGUGCGUGGUAUACAUGCAGUAUAAAGAAAUCACAGUUAAACACGAUCAUAUCUCAAAAGAACUUCCUUCCUAUCUCGAGUUGUUUCAGCAGCCCACUCUACAAUAUUAAUAAAAAGUAAUUUAAAUAAUAGUACAAUUGACAGUGUCCAAAAAGAGGUUUUGAU